This 491-nucleotide ribosomal RNA is filed under the name uncultured bacterium. Its description in RNAcentral is "partial 16S ribosomal RNA". It matches the Rfam family "Bacterial small subunit ribosomal RNA", at positions 29 to 506 of the family's 1533-position model. The record is from RNAcentral.
AGUGAACGCUGGCGGUAGGCCCAACACAUGCAAGUCGAACGGCAGCACAGUAAGAGCUUGCUCUUACGGGUGGCGAGUGGCGGACGGGUGAGGAAUACAUCGGAAUCUACUUUUUCGUGGGGGAUAACGUAGGGAAACUUACGCUAAUACCGCAUACGACCUACGGGUGAAAGCAGGGGAUCUUCGGACCUUGCGCGAUUGAAUGAGCCGAUGUCGGAUUAGCUAGUUGGCGGGGUAAAGGCCCACCAAGGCGACGAUCCGUAGCUGGUCUGAGAGGAUGAUCAGCCACACUGGAACUGAGACACGGUCCAGACACCUACGGGAGGCAGCAGUGGGGAAUAUUGGACAAUGGGCGCAAGCCUGAUCCAGCCAUACCGCGUGGGUGAAGAAGGCCUUCGGGUUGUAGAGCCCUUUUGUUGGGAAAGAAAAGCAGCAGGUUAAUACCCCGCUGUUCUGACGGUACCCAAAGAAUAAGCACCGGCUAACUUCGU